GUUGGCGGCCAUAGGGGGGUGGAAACGCCCAGUCCCAUUUCGAACCUGGAAGCUAAGCACCCUUACGACGUGGCGAGUACUGGAGUAAUUCCGGAAAAGCCUGUUGCUGCCACCA
RNAcentral lists this ribosomal RNA (115 nucleotides) under Microcaldota archaeon. Lineage: Archaea; Nanobdellati; Microcaldota. The record is from RNAcentral.